Molecule: long non-coding RNA, 289 nt
Filed under: Cicer arietinum (chickpea)
Lineage: Eukaryota; Viridiplantae; Streptophyta; Magnoliopsida; Fabales; Fabaceae
Description: long non-coding RNA (CARI_LNC000981)
Source: RNAcentral
UCUCCAUCAUCGAUGGCUUCACUGCUUGGUACUACUAAUCACUAAUGUUUUCCGUUCCGCUACCCACCUCCAUUUUUAUGUCAAAACAAUAUUCAAGUUUUGAUUUUGAUUAUGUGGUUAUUGAACCUAAAUUUGUUUGAGGAAGAAAAGAGAAGAACAAGAAAUCCAAAAAUUUAGGGCUUGUAGAACAUAAACCCAUAAAUUUUUGGUUUGAGGAACAUAAAUCCAAAAAAUUGAGAGAAUUCAGAUUUGUGGUUUUAAGCUUCUGAUCACUUCAUUGUUAUUUUGC